Acromyrmex echinatior (Panamanian leafcutter ant) is the source of this 773-nucleotide long non-coding RNA. RefSeq lists it as uncharacterized. NCBI's taxonomy places the organism in Eukaryota, Metazoa, Arthropoda, Insecta, Hymenoptera, Formicidae. The record is from RefSeq and is a predicted model, not a curated record.
GUUAAUAGAGGCAACGCUAAAGUACAUUAUUAGUAUUUAUAUUUUUUACAUUUCGAUAAAUAUUAAUUAAUAAGAUCAGUACACAGAAUUACAUCUGUCAUGUCGAUGAGGUGUAGCGACAAUGAAUAUGUUCUGUGGCCACAAUUUCCGAGGUGGAAAUGCAAGAGAAGAGAGCUUCUGCCCAAACAUUUACUUUCCAUGCAAAGUGACGAUUUAAUAGAUCAUAUUUAUUUGAAAUCACAAAUAAAGUAUUACACACGUAUUUCAAAUUCGCAUGCUUUCGCAUGCGUAUGUGGCCAUGGAGCAUGCGCAUGUUACUACAAAAUAUGCGCAUAUUGCCAAGGUGCAUGUCCACAUCGUUUCAUCUCGUCGGUGUCAUAUUAGCCGGUAUUCAUAAUCGGAUUAUAUAUUUAAAACCAUUUUAAAUACAGUACGUCAUAAGUCAAUCAAAGGGCCGCAUUAGCGACUUAAAGACAUUAUAUUUAAGAUGAUCUAAAAUUAGAACCUAUUAUGACUACUGUCCAUCAAAUUUCUUAACCUAAAUAGUCAACUUCAACGAUUCAUAUUUUGCUUCGCGCGACAGAGCGACAAUUAUUUUUGCCAAAUUAUUUCGUUUCGUGCAAAAAGUGAGUCUAAUUUCAUGUUGGAGAAGCAAUGGCAGCAAAUCCCAAUUUUAAAUUUAUACAAACUAUUCAAGGAGGCCAUUACCGAAGCAUUGAGGUCAAAGUAACGAUUCCAAAAUCAACAAGAUGUGCUGCAUGUUGAAAAUAAUG